This 77-nucleotide transfer RNA is filed under the name Candidatus Dormiibacterota bacterium. RNAcentral's name for it is "tRNA-Pro". It matches the Rfam family "tRNA". Rfam says of the family: Transfer RNA (tRNA) molecules are approximately 80 nucleotides in length. Their secondary structure includes four short double-helical elements and three loops (D, anti-codon, and T loops). The record is from RNAcentral. RNAcentral also lists the same sequence under 1 other name. Lineage: Bacteria; Bacillati; Candidatus Dormiibacterota.
CGGGGAGUAGCGCAGCCCGGUAGCGUACCUGCUUUGGGAGCAGGGGGUCGCGGGUUCAAAUCCCGCCUCCCCGACCA